This is a long non-coding RNA of Perognathus longimembris pacificus (Pacific pocket mouse), 242 nucleotides long. RefSeq lists it as uncharacterized. Lineage: Eukaryota; Metazoa; Chordata; Mammalia; Rodentia; Heteromyidae. The transcript is spliced from 3 exons. The record is from RefSeq and is a predicted model, not a curated record.
AAUUAGGUUGGAAAGUAUUUCAUCACUUGUAGUUUUUUUUCAGAAGUGUGUCUGAUACAUAAUGUGGAUGGACAAAGCAUGACUAGGAGAGACUGAUUGUCCAGGCCACUCCCUGGACUUUAUACCAAGGCAAGAAGCAAUGGGGGCAGCUUGGACCAGAACCUAUGAAUUCCGAUACCUUUUAAAAACUACUACUGGUAAAUGAAUAUGACUUUAAGUGUAAUAAGUGGAGAUCUUCUUAC